RNAcentral lists this ribosomal RNA (233 nucleotides) under uncultured bacterium. RNAcentral describes it as "partial 16S ribosomal RNA". It matches the Rfam family "Bacterial small subunit ribosomal RNA", at positions 794 to 1028 of the family's 1533-position model. The record is from RNAcentral.
UCCACGCUGUAAACGAUGUGCACUAGGUGUUGGGUCUUAAGGCUCAGUGCCGUAGCUAACGCGUUAAGUGCACCGCCUGGGGAGUAUGCCCGCAAGGGUGAAACUCAAAGGAAUUGACGGGGGCCCGCACAAGCGGUGGAGCAUGUGGUUUAAUUCGAUGAUACGCGAGAAACCUUACCAGGGCUGUGACAUCCUGCGAAUCUCUUGGAAACUUGAGAGUGCCUUCGGGAACG